RNAcentral lists this ribosomal RNA (253 nucleotides) under uncultured bacterium. RNAcentral's name for it is "partial 16S ribosomal RNA". It matches the Rfam family "Bacterial small subunit ribosomal RNA", at positions 524 to 776 of the family's 1533-position model. The record is from RNAcentral.
UACGUAGGGGGCAAGCGUUAUCCGGAUUUACUGGGUGUAAAGGGAGCGUAGACGGUUAUGCAAGUCAGAAGUGAAAGCCCAAAGCUCAACUUCGGGACUGCUUUUGAAACUGUGUAACUAGAGUGCAGGAGGGGUAAGCGGAAUUCCUAGUGUAGCGGUGAAAUGCGUAGAUAUUAGGAGGAACACCGGCGGCGAAGGCGGCUUACUGGACUGUAACUGACGUUGAGGCUCGAAAGCGUGGGGAGCAAACGGG